GAUGAACGCUGGCGGCGUGCCUAAUACAUGCCAGUCGAGCGAACGGACGAGAAGCUUGCUUCUCUGAUGUUAGCGGCGGACGGGUGAGUAACACGUGGAUAACCUACCUAUAGGACUGGGAUAACUUCGGGAAACCGUAGCUAAUACCGGAUAAUAUUUUGAACCGCAUGGUUCAAAAGUGAAAGACGGUCUUGCUGUCACUUAUAGAUGGAUCCGCGCUGCAUUAGCUAGUUGGUAAGGUAACGGCUUACCAAGGCAACGAUGCAUAGCCGACCUGAGAGGGUGAUCGGCCACACUGGAACUGAGACACGGUCCAGACUCCUACGGGAGGCAGCAGUAGGGAAUCUUCCGCAAUGGGCGAAAGCCUGACGGAGCAACGCCGCGUGAGUGAUGAAGGUCUUCGGAUCGUAAAACUCUGUUAUUAGGGAAGAACAUAUGUGUAAGUAACUGUGCACAUCUUGACGGUACCUAAUCAGAAAGCCACGGCUAACUACGUG
RNAcentral lists this ribosomal RNA (497 nucleotides) under uncultured bacterium. RNAcentral's name for it is "partial 16S ribosomal RNA". It matches the Rfam family "Bacterial small subunit ribosomal RNA", at positions 28 to 507 of the family's 1533-position model. The record is from RNAcentral.